RNAcentral lists this transfer RNA (75 nucleotides) under Kordiimonas sp. SCSIO 12610. RNAcentral's name for it is "tRNA-Met". It matches the Rfam family "tRNA". From Rfam's summary of the family: Transfer RNA (tRNA) molecules are approximately 80 nucleotides in length. Their secondary structure includes four short double-helical elements and three loops (D, anti-codon, and T loops). The record is from RNAcentral. Lineage: Bacteria; Pseudomonadati; Pseudomonadota; Alphaproteobacteria; Kordiimonadales; Kordiimonadaceae.
UGCAGGGUAGAGCAGCAGCAGCUCACUUGGUUCAUACCCAAGAGGUCGCGGGUGCAAGUCCCGCCCCUGCUACCA